RNAcentral lists this ribosomal RNA (47 nucleotides) under Goniopora stokesi. RNAcentral's name for it is "partial 18S rRNA". It matches the Rfam family "Eukaryotic small subunit ribosomal RNA", at positions 1789 to 1831 of the family's 1831-position model. Lineage: Eukaryota; Metazoa; Cnidaria; Anthozoa; Scleractinia; Poritidae. The record is from RNAcentral.
UCGUAACAAGGUUUCCGUAGGUGAACCUGCGGAAGGAUCAUUACCGA